AGUGAACGCUGGCGGCAGGCCUAAUACAUGCAAGUCGAACGGCAGCACAGUGGAGCUUGCUCCAUGGGUGGCGAGUGGCGGACGGGUGAGGAAUACAUGGGAAUCUGCCCAGUCGUGGGGGAUAACGUAGGGAAACUUACGCUAAUACCGCAUGCGCCCUUCGGGGGAAAGUCGGGGACCUUCGGGCCUGGCGCGAUUGGAUGAGCCCAUGUUCGAUUAGCUAGUUGGCGGGGUAAAGGCCCACCAAGGCGACGAUCGAUAGCUGGUCUGAGAGGAUGAUCAGCCACACUGGGACUGAGACACGGCCCAGACUCCUACGGGAGGUAGCAGUAGGGAAUAUUGGACAAUGGGCGCAAGCCUGAUCCAGCCAUGCCGCGUGAGUGAAGAAGGCCCUCGGGUUGUAAAGCUCUUUUGUCCGGGAAGAAAAGCAUCGGGCUAAUACCUCGGUGUUCUGACGGUACCGGAAGAAUAAGCACCGGCUAACUUCGUG
RNAcentral lists this ribosomal RNA (490 nucleotides) under uncultured bacterium. RNAcentral describes it as "partial 16S ribosomal RNA". It matches the Rfam family "Bacterial small subunit ribosomal RNA", at positions 29 to 507 of the family's 1533-position model. The record is from RNAcentral.